GGAGUCUGGACCGUGUCUCAGUUCCAGUGUGGGGGACCUUCCUCUCAGAACCCCUAUCCAUCGUAGCCUUGGUGGGCCGUUGCCCCGCCAACUAGCUAAUGGAACGCAUCCCCAUCCCUUACCGAAUAACUCUUUGGUCAAGUGAAAAGGCUAUCGCUUGACAACAUCGGGGAUUAAUCCUACUUUCGCAGGGCUAUACCCGAGUAAGGGCCAGGUUGGAUACGCGUUACGCACCCGUGCGCCGGUCGCCAUCAGGCGUAUUGCUACGCCAAUGCUGCCCCGCGACUUGCAUGUGUUAGGCCUGUAGCUAGCGUUCAUC
Molecule: ribosomal RNA, 319 nt
Filed under: uncultured Bacteroides sp.
Lineage: Bacteria; Pseudomonadati; Bacteroidota; Bacteroidia; Bacteroidales; Bacteroidaceae
Description: partial 16S ribosomal RNA
Source: RNAcentral